Lucilia cuprina (Australian sheep blowfly) is the source of this 1417-nucleotide long non-coding RNA. RefSeq lists it as uncharacterized. Lineage: Eukaryota; Metazoa; Arthropoda; Insecta; Diptera; Calliphoridae. The record is from RefSeq and is a predicted model, not a curated record. The transcript is spliced from 2 exons.
AUGUGCAUUUAUUUGUUUAUCAAUUUAUUUAGAAAACAGAAAAAUAAAUAACAAAAAUAAUUUUUAUAAAAAAAGCAUUAAACAAAGAGCUGUUGAUAAAGAGCUACAGCGGGGUUUAAUAAGUGUACUAAAAAUUUUAGAACAGCUCAGUUUUUUUUUAAGUUUGCUUUAAGAAAAGAAAAAAAACAAAAUUUUGUUUUUAAAAUUGUUUCCGAGUUAAAUGAUGAAAUUUUACAAAUCUAUUUGCGUCAACUGUUUUAAAAAAUAAUAAAAUUUAUAAAAAAUUAUAAAGAAAAUUUUUAAAAAAAAUUAAAAACAAUACGCAGCAUAGAUGGAAAAAGUUCUUCACAAGUUUAUGGAAAAAAAUGUGCCAAAUAAAUAUAAACAUAAAACAAAUUAUUUUAAAUUAUUUAACAAAAAUCUCAAAAUGUAAAUGCAAAAUAAACAAUUUACAUCGAAAACACAUCGUUUGAAUUCGUUCAGAUAUCAAUUCAUCUCAAAUAUAAUAAAAAUGAAAUUUUAAAAGAUACCAUGCGAUGUGAUAGAGGAAUUCGGAAAACAAUAAACAAUUCAGCAUAACUCAAUCCAUUAGAAAUGUAUUGCAUUUAUCUCUUGGCCUUGUUUUUGAUAAAUUUUUGUGUUGGUCUGUGUAAUUCAUUAAUAGUUUUAGUACUGAUUUGGAUAAGGUUUACAUGUUUUUAAAAUUUUUCCUAGAACAAGUUCCGAGAGUAAAAAAAAAAUCGAAAUAAUAUCAUUGAUUAAAGGACUGGAUCAGAAUCACCGCUCGUAAUGUUCUAAAUUUAAUAUGGAAUAAUUAUACUUUAGAAAAAUUUAGAUAUCGAAAUUGGUUUUGGUGUGUGAACUCUACAAAUAUUUCACAGAACUAGUUCCGAAGGAGAAAAUAUCAAACGCAAAUCAGUGGUUCUACUUUAUGUUAAAUCCUCACAUUUGACCAGCGUUUUAUUUGGCUACUUCCAGUAUGAGUUUUGAACAUCAGUUAACAUUCUAUUGAAUCCAAUGCAUCAUAAAAAUAAUAUUGUUUGCAUAAAUAUAAAACUAUUUGAAUUGAUAAAAAUAAAAACAUAAAUAUUGCAAUUUCUGUUAAUAACGAUUGCCACACCAUCUAUAUGUCAGUAAGCAAAGAAAGCAGCGCCAUCUACAUGUUAAUAUAUAUUCAAAAUAUACCAACCACCGUGUGCUAAUGAACUUAGCGAAGACGACAACCAGCUACAUAUUAUAUACCGCCUGAAAAUAUAUUAAACUUUUUAUAAAAUAAAGUACAUUUAUGUUUCACAGUUUUAUAUUCUAGUGCUUAUAACUCGAAAUCUAGCCAAGAUAUUUAGAUGAAACUUUCUCAUUGUAUUAGCACGAUAUUGCACUAUAAUUUACAAUAAAAUUUUUCCCACUUAAGUGACAA